Molecule: ribosomal RNA, 253 nt
Filed under: uncultured bacterium
Lineage: Bacteria
Description: partial 16S ribosomal RNA
Rfam family: Bacterial small subunit ribosomal RNA
Source: RNAcentral
UACGUAGGGGGCAAGCGUUGUCCGGAUUUAUUGGGCGUAAAGAGCGUGUAGGCGGCCAGGUAGGUCCGUUGUGAAAACUCGAGGCUCAACCUCGAGACGCCGAUGGAAACCAUCUGGCUAGAGUCCGGAAGAGGAGAGUGGAAUUCCUGGUGUAGCGGUGAAAUGCGCAGAUAUCAGGAAGAACACCCGUGGCUAAGGCGGCUCUCUAGUACGGUACUGACGCUGAGACGCGAAAGCGUGGGGAGCGAACAAG